This 468-nucleotide ribosomal RNA is filed under the name uncultured bacterium. RNAcentral describes it as "partial 16S ribosomal RNA". It matches the Rfam family "Bacterial small subunit ribosomal RNA", at positions 28 to 507 of the family's 1533-position model. The record is from RNAcentral.
GACGAACGCUGGCGGCGUGCCUAACACAUGCAAGUCGAACGGAAAGGCCCUGCUUUUGUGGGGUGCUCGAGCGGCGAACGGGUGAGUAACACGUGAGUAACCUGCCCUUGACUUUGGGAUAACAUCAGGAAACUGGGGCUAAUACCGGAUAGGAGCUCCUGCUGCACGGUGGGGGUUGGAAAGUUUCGGCGGUUGGGGAUGGACUCGCGGCUUAUCAGCUUGUUGGUGGGGUAGUGGCUUACCAAGGCUUUGACGGGUAGCCGGCAUGAGAGGGUGACCGGCGACAUUGGGACUGAGGUACGGCCCAGACGGCUACGGGAGGCAACAGUGGGGAAUAUUGCACAAUGAGCGGAAGCCUGAUGCAGAAGCGCCGCGUGCGGAAUAACGGCCUUCGGGUUGUAAACCGCUUUCGCCUGUGACGAAGCGUGAAUGACGGUAAUGAGUAAAGAAGCAACGGCUAACUACGUG